RNAcentral lists this ribosomal RNA (551 nucleotides) under Bacillus subtilis. RNAcentral's name for it is "bacterial SSU rRNA". It matches the Rfam family "Bacterial small subunit ribosomal RNA", at positions 108 to 644 of the family's 1533-position model. The record is from RNAcentral. Lineage: Bacteria; Bacillati; Bacillota; Bacilli; Caryophanales; Bacillaceae.
GAGUAACACGUGGGUAACCUGCCUGUAAGACUGGGAUAACUCCGGGAAACCGGGGCUAAUACCGGAUGGUUGUUUGAACCGCAUGGUUCAAACAUAAAAGGUGGCUUCGGCUACCACUUACAGAUGGACCCGCGGCGCAUUAGCUAGUUGGUGAGGUAACGGCUCACCAAGGCAACGAUGCGUAGCCGACCUGAGAGGGUGAUCGGCCACACUGGGACUGAGACACGGCCCAGACUCCUACGGGAGGCAGCAGUAGGGAAUCUUCCGCAAUGGACGAAAGUCUGACGGAGCAACGCCGCGUGAGUGAUGAAGGUUUUCGGAUCGUAAAGCUCUGUUGUUAGGGAAGAACAAGUACCGUUCGAAUAGGGCGGUACCUUGACGGUACCUAACCAGAAAGCCACGGCUAACUACGUGCCAGCAGCCGCGGUAAUACGUAGGUGGCAAGCGUUGUCCGGAAUUAUUGGGCGUAAAGGGCUCGCAGGCGGUUUCUUAAGUCUGAUGUGANANCCCCCGGCUCANCCGGGGAGGGUCAUUGGAAACUGGGGAACUUG